Molecule: ribosomal RNA, 398 nt
Filed under: uncultured bacterium
Lineage: Bacteria
Description: bacterial SSU rRNA
Rfam family: Bacterial small subunit ribosomal RNA
Source: RNAcentral
GAGCGCCGUAGCAAUACGGAGCGGCAGACGGGAGAGUAACACGUGGGAACGUGCCCUUUGGUUCGGAACAACCCCAGGGAAACUUGGGCUAAUACCGGAUAAGCCCUUACGGGGAAAGAUUUAUCGCCGAAGGAUCGGCCCGCGUCUGAUUAGCUAGUUGGUGGGGUAAUGGCCCACCAAGGCGACGAUCAGUAGCUGGUCUGAGAGGAUGAUCAGCCUCACUGGGACUGAGACACGGCCCAGACUCCUACGGGAGGCAGCAGUGGGGAAUAUUGGACAAUGGGCGCAAGCCUGAUCCAGCCAUGCCGCGUGGGUGAUGAAGGCCCUAGGGUUGUAAAGCCCUUUCGGCGGGGAAGAUAAUGACGGUACCCGCAGAAGAAGCCCCGGCUAACUCCGUG